Molecule: ribosomal RNA, 1593 nt
Filed under: Oryza rufipogon (brownbeard rice)
Lineage: Eukaryota; Viridiplantae; Streptophyta; Magnoliopsida; Poales; Poaceae
Description: rRNA LSU_rRNA_eukarya
Rfam family: Bacterial large subunit ribosomal RNA
Source: RNAcentral
CUUAGCGAACUAAAACAUCUGAGUAGCUAAAGGAAGGAAAAUCAACCGAGACCCCGUUAGUAGCGGCGAGCGAGAGCGGAACAAGGGUUUUCAUCAAAAGAAAUCCGGAGCAGUUUCAUUCGAUUUGUUGUGGAUUGGAUGAUGGAAAAACUAGCAAGCAGCAAGCGUAGGCUAUGUUGCCGUAGCGCGCCCUACGGAGUUGUACAAAGUCAGCAACCAUUUUGGGGCGCAAGCAUAGGCAACACAGGACUGAUGACGGGGUGGGGCGCGCAGUGAACUGGUUUUCUAAAAAGAUUGGAAGAUCCGGCCAAAGAAGGUGAUAGCCCUGUUCAUUUGUUCCCAUGGUUCGAUCCUUUCCAGUAAAACGCGGCGUGUUCGAAUGAUGAUCGCUUUUACGCGAGAAAGGGGGACCACCCUCUAAGCCUAAGUAUUCCUUAAUGACCGAUAGCAUACAAGUACCGUGAGGGAAAGGUGAAAAGAACCCCAAUCGGGGAGUGCAAUAGAGAACUUGAGAUCCGAUGCGAACAAUCACUCGAAGGAGCGAAGCGCGGGCGCACUCACUCUAACGGCGUACCUUUCGCAUGAUGGGUCAGCGAGGAAAUGGGAACAGCGGCUUAAGCCAUUAGGUGUAGGCGCUUUCCAGAGGUGGAAGAUUUACGUUCUUCCUAUUUGACCCGAAACCGAUCGAUCUAGCCAUGAGCAGGUUGCAGAGAGCUCUAACAGGCCUUGGAGGACCGAACCCACAUAUGUGGCAAAAUACGGGGAUGACUUGUGGCUAGGGGUGAAAGGCCAACCAAGAUCGGAUAUAGUUGUUUUUCCGCGAAAUCUAUUUCAGUAGAGCGUAUGAUGUCGAUUGCCUGAGGUAGAGCACUCAAUGGGCUAGGGUGGCCCCCAUUUCGCUUUAGCAACCCCAGGGAAACUCCGAAUACAGGCCGUCAUCCUUAGUACAGACAGACUAAUUGGGUGCUAAGAUCCGAAGUCGAGAGGGAAAUAGCCCAGAUCAUACGCUAAGGUCCCUAAGCAAUCACUUAGUGGAAAAGGAAGUGAUCGAGCGAUGACAACCAGGAGGUGGGCUUGGAAGCAGCCAUCCUUUGAAGAAAGCGUAAUAGCUCACUGGUCUAGCACCAUGGCACCGAAAAUGUCUCAGGUCUCAAGUGAUCCACCGAAGCGACGAGACCUUGAAAGCUGCUUUUUCAAGUGUCAGUAGCGGGACGUUCUGUCAAUCGGGGAAGGUUUUUGGUGACAAGACCUGGAGAUAUCAGAAGUGAGAAUGCUGACAUGAGUAACGAGAAAUCCUGUGAAAAACACGAUCGCCUGCCAGUGGAAGGCUUUCUGCGUUCAGUCAAUCUACGCAGAGUGAAUCGGUCCCUAAGGAACCCCCGAAAGGGCUGCCGUCCGAUGGGUACACUAAAGUGACGAAGUUGCUUUGACUACUGAACCAUGCCUGGAUCGUCGGAGCGAAUUGGAUGAUCGAGCCGAGGGCUGCCCCCUCUUCCCCUCGCUCUCCUUUCCUUAAUAUUCACCGUCAAGUCAUCAAAGCCGUCAACUAAUUCAGAGGGGCUCAGCUGGCCCGGUCGCCCUACGCUACUGGCG